AUGAUAUCACCUCAGAAGCCACACCCUUGUCCAGAGAUGAAAAGCAUCUCCGUUGGUGUUGCCCUCACUGCUGCCUGGAUGUUUCUCACUGCACCGCAUGCCUGCGGCUGGAUCGCCCCACAGCCCAACCAAAACGUCUGGGUGACUUUAGCAAAGACGCUAAAACAAGAUAAUCUGUGUUUAUCCAUGGGCAACCUUGAUAACCCACUUUCCACCUGUUUAGUAGGAAUUCCUUUGGUAGCAGAUGAUUGGUCAGUUUAUAACUCAGAACUCCUUCGCACCACAGGUAAGAAACCCAAUCCAGUGGACAAUUGGGAUGUGUGGACAAAAAUGCUGCCAAAUGCGCAGGAGGAGCCCCAAGAAUUGGAUUUGUUGGGGUCCUCCAGGGCAACAUUUUGUGUCAAAUUUUACUUUAGACGCCCAAGACAAAAUUUUGCCAAUUUGGAUUUGACAAAAAACACAUACCGAAAAGAUAUCUCUCCCAUCAACAAAGCUUACAAUUCCCCGGAUUGGUGCAAUUACACUGCCCACACACUUUCAGAAUCCUCUCUCCACCCCAAAACUUUGCCCAGAGGAAUGUUUCUUAUCUGUGGUGAUCGAGUUUGGGCCGGAAUUCCCUCCCGCCUUCAGGGAGGACCCUGUAGCCUCAGUAGGCUUUCUACCCUCACCCCAAACAUCACUCUGUUGCACAAUUGGAGAAAAGAUAGCGAAUCAAAACGCGAAAAAAGAUCCUACACUGAAUAUGAAGAAAGUUGUGACCCUAAAUUGUACAAUUGGAACAAACCCAAAAGAGUUACUGUCUCCCUCUUUCUACCCUGGGUAGCAGCAGCAAAAGCCCUUGGCAAAAUUGAUCAUUUGGGGUGCUGACUUAGUAAGCAGGCCAACGCUACAUCUGCUGCCCUGAGUGACCUCUUGAAAGACGAAGAAACCACAAGAUAUGCCUCUCUGCAAAAUCGUGCUGCAAUCGACUUCCUGCUGCUCGCCCAUGGACAUGGCUGCCAAGACUUUGAAGGGAUGUGCUGCUUCAACCUCUCCUCCCGCUCCAUAUCCAUCCAUGCCAACAUCCAGAAGCUGCACGAACUCGUGAAGGACGUGAAAAAGAAAACCACCUCCGACUGGGCCCAUGACCUUUUUGGUCAAUGGGGACUGACGGGAUGGGCUGCAUCUUUGGUCAAGGGAAUUUUGUGGAUUUUGAUUGUAGUUGUUAUUGUGUUAGUUAUGUUUGCAUGCUUUGCUCAAUGCUUCAAGAAAGUUACAAAAAGCGUCUUUUUAGUAAAUACAGAGAGGAAUUGUGGAUGAUACAAUUUCUCCAAAGUCUUCUGCUUCUGGCCCCUGGAACUUGCUAUAAUGGAUAAGGUGUCCUGGAUACCAAGGUUGAGCCAAAUUCCUUAAGAAUUUGGUCACUCUCCUAACACCUCGGAAGAUAAUUGGUUAGAAAUUACGAUGUUUAAUUGGUCAGUUUCUGUUCUUUGUAUAAACUUCUAUUGGUUGUAGUUGGAUCCUUCCUGAACCUAUAAAUAUAAGUGUCUGCCCUUUGUUCUGAGAGAAUACUGCUGAC
This 1558-nucleotide long non-coding RNA is filed under the name Catharus ustulatus (Swainson's thrush). RNAcentral describes it as "lncRNA (ENSCUSG00005014268.1)". The record is from RNAcentral. Lineage: Eukaryota; Metazoa; Chordata; Aves; Passeriformes; Turdidae.